CGACCGGCGCACGGGUGAGUAACGCGUAUGCAACCUGCCCGAUACCGGGGUAUAGCCCAUGGAAACGUGGAUUAACACCCCAUAGUACUUUUAUCCUGCAUGGGAUGUGAGUUAAAUGUUCAAGGUAUCGGAUGGGCAUGCGUCCUAUUAGUUAGUUGGCGGGGUAACAGCCCACCAAGACGAUGAUAGGUAGGGGUUCUGAGAGGAAGGUCCCCCACAUUGGAGCUGAGACACGGUCCAA
This 241-nucleotide ribosomal RNA is filed under the name uncultured bacterium. RNAcentral's name for it is "partial 16S ribosomal RNA". It matches the Rfam family "Bacterial small subunit ribosomal RNA", at positions 92 to 334 of the family's 1533-position model. The record is from RNAcentral.